UCGGUGCCGCCGGGGCCAUGGCGGCGGCGCGGGGCUGGCCGCGGGCGCUGGCGAGUGUCGCUGCGGCGCUGCCCGGCGCGGCACCGGGAGCGGCCCCCGACACGGCCGCGCUCUACGUGCACUGGCCCUACUGCCGCAAGCGCUGCUCCUACUGCAGCUUCAACACGUACGUGGUGCCGGCCGUGGACGAGGCGGCCGUGCGCGCCUGCCUGGUGCGGGAGGCGCAGACCCUGCUCCGCCUCAGCCAGGUGCACAGCGUCACCUCCGUCUUCUUCGGCGGGGGCACCCCCAGCCUGGCCAGCCCCGGCACUGUGGCGGCGGUGUUGGAGGCUGUGGCGAGGGCUGCCCGCCUUCCUGCUGGUGCCGAGGUCACGCUGGAGGCCAACCCCAGCUCCGCCAGCGCUUCUCGCCUUGCCGGCUUCAGGGCAGCCGGGGUCAACCGCCUCUCCAUCGGCGUCCAGUCGCUGGAUGACGCCGAGCUGAGGAUGCUGGGCCGGGAGCACACGGCGGCAGAGGCACGGAAGGCUGUGGAAGCAGCUCGGGGGCUCUUCCCUGGCCGAACCUCCAUCGACCUCCUGUUUGGGCUGCCGGGACAGAGCGGGGACGCCUGGGCCCAGCGGCUGGAGGCGGCCCUGAGGCUCUGUGACGACCACAUCUCGCUGUACCAGCUGACGCUGGAGCGGGGCACGGCGCUGGCAGCCCAGGUCAGGGACGGGGCCCUGCCCGCACCCCCCCAGGAUCUGCUGGCUGACAUGUACCACACUGCCCGGAAUGUGCUGGAGGCCACCGGCUUCCGCCACUAUGAGGUCUCCAAUUUUGCACGGAAGGGCGCCCUCAGCACCCACAACCUCUCAUACUGGCGGGCUGAGCAGUACAUCGGUGUGGGGCCAGGGGCACACGGGCGCUUUGUGCUGCGAGGUGAGGGCGGCUGUCACCGGGAAGCCCGUGUGCAGACCCUGGAGCCUGUCGCCUGGAUGCGGGAGGUGCAGAGCCAGGGACACGGCACCAGGAGUCGGGCGGUGCUGAGCCCGCUGGAGCAGCUGGAGGAGCUGCUCACCCUGGGACUGCGCACGGAUGAAGGCGUCACGCACGAGCGCUGGGGGCACUUCUCCCCCCAGCUCAGCCUGCAGGCCGUGUUCGGGGAGCCGGGGGAGGCUCGGGCACUGCAGCAGCAGGGCUGGCUCGUCCUGGACAGCGGCGGCCUGCGGUGCAGCUGGGCCGGCCUGGCCGUGCUGGACUCGCUGCUGCCCGACCUGCUCUGCCAGCUGCAGCGGGCACUGGGCACUGCCCAGGGGCACCCCGGCGGAGGAGCGAGCCUUGGCGGGGGCGCGAGGGCUCCAGGCAGCCACAACGGAUAAUAAUGGACAAUAAACCACAGGAGCAGUGUGCUGGCAGUGUGCUGGGGCAGGGGCACUGGCCGUGCUGGACUCGCUGCUGCCCGACCUGCUCUGCCAGCUGCAGCGGGCACUGGGCACUGCCCAGGGCCCACCCAGGGGCGCCCCGGCGGAGGAGCGAGCCUUGGCGGGGGCGCGAGGGCUGCGAGCGGCCGCAAUGGAUAAUAAUGGAUAAUA
Passer montanus (Eurasian tree sparrow) is the source of this 1571-nucleotide RNA transcript. It is a transcript of the gene named radical S-adenosyl methionine domain containing 1, with no coding region annotated. NCBI's taxonomy places the organism in Eukaryota, Metazoa, Chordata, Aves, Passeriformes, Passeridae. The record is from RefSeq and is a predicted model, not a curated record. The transcript is spliced from 10 exons.